GACGAACGCUGGCGGCGUGCUUAACACAUGCAAGUCGAACGGAAAGGCCUGCUUUCCCUUGUGGAUUGCGGGUACUCGAGUGGCGAACGGGUGAGUAACACGUGAGUGAUCUGCCCCCAACUUGGGUAUAAGCCUGGGAAACUGGGUCUAAUUCCCGAUAGGACUGCAGGGUGGUGCCUGUGGUGGAAAACGAUUUUCUAGUGGUUGGGGAUGAGCUCGCGGCCUAUCAGCUUGUUGGUGGGGUAAUGGCCUACCAGGGCGGCGACGGGUAGCCGGCCUGAGAGGGUGGACGGCCACAUUGGGACUGAGAUACGGCCCAGACUCCUACGGGAGGCAGCAGUGGGGAAUAUUGCACAAUGGGCGGAAGCCUGAUGCAGCGACGCCGCGUGGGGGAUGACGGCCUUCGGGUUGUAAACUCCUUUCGACCGCGAGGAAGCCACCUGGUUGGAAGGGUGGUGACGGUAGUGGUAGAAGAAGCACCGGCUAACUACGUG
This 494-nucleotide ribosomal RNA is filed under the name uncultured bacterium. Its description in RNAcentral is "partial 16S ribosomal RNA". It matches the Rfam family "Bacterial small subunit ribosomal RNA", at positions 28 to 507 of the family's 1533-position model. The record is from RNAcentral.